UCCCUUGCCCCAGAACACACUUCGUU
RNAcentral lists this non-coding RNA (26 nucleotides) under Mus musculus (house mouse). Lineage: Eukaryota; Metazoa; Chordata; Mammalia; Rodentia; Muridae. RNAcentral also lists the same sequence under 1 other name. The record is from RNAcentral.